GAUGCGGAGCUCAGGGUCCUCGCCGGCGUUCUCGUCGGCGAGGUAGGGGACGUCAACCGUGCCGGAAACCUUGAGAUCGGGAGUCUGACCCUCCCAGGAGAGGGAGAGCGAUAGCUCGUAGCCGGGGAUGACCUUACCCUUGCGGACGUUGACAUAAGCCUCGCCGUCGAGUUUGUCAAGGGUGAUGGUGCGGAGGUGGAGGCCGCCCUCGCCGUCGAGGAUGGUGAGGUUGUUGAGGAGGGAGGAGAGGAGGGAGCGGGACCACUCGAUGCAGUCGCGCUCGGCCCAGUGCCAGUUGUGGACGUUGGCGCCGUCGGGGCGUUCUUCAACAAUCCAGCGCUUGUCGCCCUUGCCAUACUCCGCCAUUUCUGGGCUGUGGGGGAGGGGCUAGGGUUUCGGCGAGAAGGAAAAUCG
This 414-nucleotide unclassified non-coding RNA is filed under the name Hevea brasiliensis (rubber tree). Lineage: Eukaryota; Viridiplantae; Streptophyta; Magnoliopsida; Malpighiales; Euphorbiaceae. The record is from RNAcentral.